GAUGAACGCUGGCGGCGUGCUUAACACAUGCAAGUCGAACGGUGAAGCAGAGCUUGCUCUGUGGAUCAGUGGCGAACGGGUGAGUAACACGUGAGCAACCUGCCCCUGACUCUGGGAUAAGCGCUGGAAACGGCGUCUAAUACUGGAUAUGAGCUGCGACCGCAUGGUCAGCAGUUGGAAAGAUUUUUCGGUCUGGGAUGGGCUCACGGCCUAUCAGCUUGUUGGUGAGGUAAUGGCUCACCAAGGCGUCGACGGGUAGCCGGCCUGAGAGGGUGACCGGCCACACUGGGACUGAGACACGGCCCAGACUCCUACGGGAGGCAGCAGUGGGGAAUAUUGCACAAUGGGCGAAAGCCUGAUGCAGCAACGCCGCGUGAGGGGUGACGGCCUUCGGGUUGUAAACCUCUUUUAGCAGGGAAGAAGCGAAAGUGACGGUACCUGCAGAAAAAGCGCCGGCUAACUACGUG
Molecule: ribosomal RNA, 467 nt
Filed under: uncultured bacterium
Lineage: Bacteria
Description: partial 16S ribosomal RNA
Rfam family: Bacterial small subunit ribosomal RNA
Source: RNAcentral